AAUACGGGGGGAGCAAGCGUUGUUCGGAUUUACUGGGCGUAAAGGGCGCGUAGGCGGCCAGCGCAAGUCAGUUGUGAAAUCUCCGAGCUUAACUCGGAAAGGUCAACUGAUACUGCGCGGCUAGAGUGCGGAAGGGGCAACUGGAAUUCUUGGUGUAGCGGUGAAAUGCGUAGAUAUCAAGAGGAACACCUGCGGCGAAGGCGGGUUGCUGGGCCGACACUGACGCUGAGGCGCGAAAGCUAGGGGAGCGAACGG
This 255-nucleotide ribosomal RNA is filed under the name uncultured prokaryote. Its description in RNAcentral is "partial 16S ribosomal RNA". It matches the Rfam family "Bacterial small subunit ribosomal RNA", at positions 522 to 775 of the family's 1533-position model. The record is from RNAcentral.